This 794-nucleotide long non-coding RNA is filed under the name Anas platyrhynchos platyrhynchos (common mallard). RNAcentral describes it as "lncRNA (ENSAPLG00000030842.1)". The record is from RNAcentral. Lineage: Eukaryota; Metazoa; Chordata; Aves; Anseriformes; Anatidae.
CACAGUUAUUAUGUGCCAACUAAACAAGCCCAUGAUCAGGUUGAUGAGUCUUAUUCACUGAUGAGAUUGUAGGUAGAAUUUGGAAUUUAAGAUAUCUGGCAAGCUUAGCGAAAGAUAAACAGCUAAAAUGGAGCAUGUCUAGAGAAACCUAUACAACACAGAACAAAUCUCACUUGCUUACCAGUGGCUGUGGUUAUGACUUGGAAAGGAGAAAAUAUGGAUUCAUGAUACUGAUGACCAAUAUGGAAGAAGAGACUCAGGCUGGUGCUUGCAGAAGAUAAAAGAGAAAGCCAUUGGUUAACAAGACAGUAGAGUACUUGCCUAAUCAUAGUUAUACAGUAAAACACUUCUGUACUGUGACUUUAAAGGAUUAAAACAGGAGCUUAACAAAGGAUCUCUGCCUUAUCCAGUGACACAGGUGGUUACACCCGUGCUAGUGGAUGCAAGAUUCAAUGUCUGUCUUCAUUCUUCCAGACUUCUUGUUUCUGUCUGUUCCAUGGUUCUUCUUCAAAUUAACUCUCAUCCUCAAUGGGAUCAACGCUUCUCAGGAAGAGCUUCCACAAGUGCAAGAUCACAUUGAAAUGGAAGAAGGGUGUCUCUUGUUCCCAGGUUUCAUCCAGUUUGGUAAAAUUGCUGGAUCUACUCCUACUGCAAGCAGACAAAGUUAUCCAUUUUCCUUCUCCUUCAGUCAUACUGUCAUAUACCUGCAUGUAAGUUAUGUCACUGUACCUUGUCUAGACUUAUUAGUUAAAUAAAUAAAUAAAUAAAAUGGUUAUGGGUAAGGUGAAUGGUAA